Molecule: ribosomal RNA, 866 nt
Filed under: Lophodermium pinastri
Lineage: Eukaryota; Fungi; Ascomycota; Leotiomycetes; Rhytismatales; Rhytismataceae
Description: partial 12S small subunit ribosomal RNA
Rfam family: Bacterial small subunit ribosomal RNA (bases 92-866)
Source: RNAcentral
UUGGGGGAUGUAUAGCUCUCUUAUGAGGCUAGUUAAGUUUUGAGUAGUAAAGAUAAGUUUUAAGUAGUAAAAUGUUAUGAAAAAAACAUAAUACCAACUACGUUGGAUAAAGUUCUAGAUAGAAUACUGAUUAUGACUAUUUUCUAUCUACAUGUCUUGACCAAAUUACGUGCCAGCAGUCGCGGUAAUACGUAGAAGACUAGUGUUAUUCGUAUGUAAUAGGUUUAAAGGGUACCUAGACGGUAUUACUAACCCACAACAGGGAAAUAGUUUUUGCUAGAGUUUUAUGUGAGAAGGAAGUACUUACGGAGUAGAGAUGAAAUCCUUUAAUACCCUAAGGACUGGUAACGGCGAAGGCAUCCUUCUAUGUAAAAACUGACGUUAAGGGACGAAGGCUUGGGUCGCGAAAAGGAUUAGAUACCCUUGUAGUCCAUGCAGAUAAUGAUGAAUGCCAUAUGCUAGAUUUUUUUUAGUGUAUAAAUGAAAGUGUAAGCAUUCCACCUCAAGAGUACUGUGGCAACGCUGGAACUGAAAUCAUUAGACCGUUUCUGAGACCAGUAGUGAAGUAUGUUAUAUAAUUCGGUAGCCCUCGAAAAACCUUACCACAGCUUGAAUAAUGUCAAAAGUUAAUCAAGGUAAUUUUAUACUUUAUCUACCCCCCCCCUUCAUUGAGGUCACUACGUGAAGGGGGGGGGGGAGGAAGGAGUAUAUAAUUACCUUUACUAACAAUGAUAUUACACGUGUUGCACGGUUGUCUACAGCUAAUGUCGUGAGACUUGGUUAGCUCCAUUUAAUUAGCGUAAACCCCGACUUUAUUUUUUAAUUAUUAUCAUAAAGUAGUCCAUUCACAAUAUCGAAAUUGAUAA